GAAAGGAGGUCUGGGGUGGAGGCAUGUGACGGCUAUAUGGGAGAGGGCGUGAAAUAAGGUUUUUGCAUCACACAUAAUGUGCACUGGAAAGCAUCAGUACAGAAGAGGCGAUGAACAAUCAAGCCGACAAAAUGACUCAGCCAGCUGCCAUUGAUCAGGUUUUGUUACUGACCCCCUGGGACUGGCAUGAUGGGCACACGAUGGAGGCUAGUACAUGCCCAGCACAGAGAUGUCCGUUGCCAAGGCCAACCGAGUUACUUACUGCCUCUGCCUGGAGGCUCUCAGCGCUGGAGGCCAAAGUCGAGCCCCUGAUGGGUCUAGUCCUUUUCUUUAAGGACAGCCACCGGCCUGCGGGGGGUCGACGACAUUCGACCCACCCUGUCUUGGAGGGGCCAGGGUUGUUCGCAGGCACCUGCUCUUGCUGGGGCUGCCUGCCCUGCCCGAGAGCUUCAGCAGCGUCCUUGCUGGCGCUUCCCGAGGGCCUCACCCACCACGCACAAUCCCACGCGGCGAACGACACAAGGUCGUCCCCACAGCAGGUCCUUGGGCCUGGGGUCGCUUGUCGGUGGCGCCGGCCCACGGCGGGGCGGCCCAGGCAGUGCCGCCUGGGAUGAGUUGAGAGGGGCGGGUGUGGGGAUGCUGACGGCUCCCCUGGGGCCCAGGACCCCCAUCCCCCCCCCGCGGCUUCCUCCGCUGGACCUUGGAGGCCUGUGAUGGACAUCGGGUGCCUUGGAGCCCACCAGACCAUGUUUGUGCUGCCUUUGGGAAUUAAUCGAGACUUUAAUCCUCUGCUCUCUGCUCAUAGUUUCUUUUGAACUGUGGAAAAUAUCAGCCCUGUAAGAGAAUAGUUCUGAAGGGAAAACUGAAAACAGCUUAAAUUUCUCUCUGUCAAGUUUUUUCCGGGUGAGCAAUGUUUUUGACUUAAAAAUGUUCCCUUGUAAUUAUGCCUGUGUGUGUAUUCGUGCUUUUCUUUUGCUUGACUUCCAUUCUGUUCAUUCAGCAGUUAGGAACGGUGCCACAUAGGGCUCCGCUGAUGAAAGACGCCCUCGGGAUGUGCUUAGAAAGCAGGAACGCGGAGCCCCAGGAAAGAAACCACACGGGCGGUUUCCCAGUGCAGCAUUAGGCAGGGAAGAAUCGACAUUUGAGAUACCCUCCAUACCCCUGUCCUUGUUAAACACAAUAUGGACUAAAAGACAGCAAGAAAGCAACAACUACAAAAAACGAUGCUGGAUUUGGGAAUCCAUCCAACUUAAAAUCAGAUGCUGCUCAGCAUACCACAAAUGCAAGAUCCAAAGAGUGCAGUAUUUAGAGCAAAAUGUACCAGCGUUUGGGAGCUGCAAUGUCAGCGCGGCUUACCUGAUUAUUUCCCUUUCCACCCCACCUCACCAGUAUGGCCACGAAAACCAGUUCUGAAGUGAUUAAAAGCUGAUGUUCUGAGCAUUUAGUAACAUCCCGUGACUAACAAGGUUCUCCACUAUACCACAAAAGCAGAAGGCAGAGAGCACUAAACUGUAGUUUUCAAUAAAGGUAAUGUUUGCUCACA
This 1543-nucleotide long non-coding RNA is filed under the name Vulpes vulpes (red fox). RNAcentral describes it as "lncRNA (ENSVVUG00000005112.1)". The record is from RNAcentral. Lineage: Eukaryota; Metazoa; Chordata; Mammalia; Carnivora; Canidae.